RNAcentral lists this ribosomal RNA (508 nucleotides) under uncultured Glomus. Its description in RNAcentral is "SSU rRNA". It matches the Rfam family "Eukaryotic small subunit ribosomal RNA", at positions 569 to 1078 of the family's 1831-position model. Lineage: Eukaryota; Fungi; Glomeromycota; Glomeromycetes; Glomerales; Glomeraceae. The record is from RNAcentral.
AGCAGCCGCGGUAAUUCCAGCUCCAAUAGCGUAUAUUAAAGUUGUUGCAGUUAAAAAGCUCGUAGUUGAAUUUCGGGGCCAGUAGGUUGGUCGUGCCACUGGUAUGCACUGGCCUUACUGGUCCCCCCCUCUUGUAGAACCGUGAUGCCAUUAAUUUGGUGUUGCGGGGAAACAGGACUGUUACUUUGAAAAAAUUAGAGUGCUUAAAGCAGGCUCGCGCUUGAAUACAUUAGCAUGGAAUAACGGAAUAGGACGAUCGAACCUAUUUUGUUGGUUUCUAGGAUCGACGUAAUGAUUAAUAGGGAUAGUUGGGGGCAUUAGUAUUCAAUUGUCAGAGGUGAAAUUCUUGGAUUUAUUGAAGACUAACUACUGCGAAAGCAUUUGCCAAGGAUGUUUUCAUUAAUCAAGAACGAAAGUUAGGGGAUCGAAGACGAUCAGAUACCGUCGUAGUCUUAACCAUAAACUAUGCCGACUAGGGAUCGGAUGAAGUUAAUUUUUUAAUGACUCA